UCGGCGCGCUCCCGGCCGCUCGCUGGCUGUGGGGCCGCGGCGGCUCCUCUGCCGGGUCGCGCCGGAGGACGGGCCUUCGGGCGGCGGCUCGGGCGGCCUGCGGACGGACGCGCGGGCCGAGGCGCAGGCCCCGCGCCCGCCGUCUCCCCCUCCCGCCGGGCCCCGGGCCCGCGCCAUGGCCGCCUCGCCGGGCUCCGGCAGCGCCAACCCGCGGAAGUUCAGUGAGAAGAUCGCGCUGCACACGCAGCGGCAGGCCGAGGAGACGCGGGCCUUCGAGCAGCUCAUGACCGACCUCACCCUGUCGCGGGUCCAAUUUCAGAAGCUUCAGCAGCUCCGCCUUACGCAGUACCACGGAGGAUCCUUACCAAACGUGAGCCAGCUGCGGAGCAGCGUGCCAGAGUUCCAGCCGUCCCUGCACCAGGCUGAUAGCGCCCGGGGGACCCGCCACCAUGGGCUGGUGGAGAGGCCGGCCAGGACCCGCUUCCACGCGCUCCACCGACGGUCUGGGGACAAGCCGGGACGACAAUUUGAUGGUAGUACUUUCGGAGCCAGUUACUCCUCACAGCCUCUGGAUGAGAGUUGGCCAAGGCAGCAGCAUCCUUGGAAAGAAGAAAAGCACCCUGGGUUCAGGCUGACAUCUGCACUUAACAGGACCAAUUCUGAUUCCGCCCUUCACACGAGUGCCCUGAGCGCCAAGCCCCAGGACCCCUAUGGAGGAGGGGGCCAGUCGGCCUGGCCUGCCCCAUACAUGGGUUUCUGUGAUGGUGAGAACGACGUACACGGGGAAGUGCUAUCUUUCCCUGGCCCGCUGAAAGAAGAGAAUCUGCUAAAUGUUCCCAAGCCUCUGCCAAAACAGCUGUGGGAGGCCAAGGAGAUUCAGUCCCUGUCAGGGCGCCCUCGGUCCUGUGAUGUUGGAAGCGGCGGUGCUUUUCCACACAACGGCCAAAACAUAGGCCUCUCCCCCUUCCUGGGGACCCUGAAUACCGGGGGGUCGCUGCCAGACCUAACCAACCUCCACUAUUCCGCGCCCCUGCCGGCCUCACUGGACACCAGUGACCACAUCUUUGGUAGUAUGAGUGUGGGGAACAGUGUGGGCAACCUGCCAGCCGCCAUGACUCACCUGGGCAUAAGAAGCUCUUCCGGCCUCCAGAGCUCUCGGAGCAACCCCUCCAUCCAGGCCACGCUCAGCAAGACUGCACUUUCGUCCUCCCCGAACAGCCACCCACAGACACCCGCGCCCAGCGCCUCUGCCCUUCACCCCUCCCUCCGGCUCUUUUCCCUCAGCAACCCGUCUCUCUCCACCACGGCCCUGAGCGGCCCCUCUCGGCGGCGGCAGCCCCCGGUCAGCCCCCUCACGCUGUCCCCCGGCCCCGAAGCGCAUCAGGGUUUCAGCAGACAGCUGUCGGCCACCAGCCCGCUGAACCCCUAUCCCGCCGCCCAGAUGGUGUCCUCGGAUCGAAGCCCGCUCUCCUUCCUGCCCACAGACGCUCAAACCCAGGUGUCCCCGCCGCCCCCUUACCCCACCCCCCAGGAUCUCCCCCAGCCCCUCCUGCAGCAGCCCCAUGCCCAGGAGCCCCCCGCUCAGCAGCCGCAGGUGGCCUCAUCCCUGCCUCCUUCUGGCUUCCAGCUCCUCUCCGCCCAGGGUUCACCUGUGACCAACUUCUUCCCGGAUGUGAGCUUUGACCAGCAGUCCAUGAGGCCAGGCCCGGCCUUUCCUCAACAGGUGCCCCUGGUGGAACAAGGUCCGCGAGAACAGGACGCGUUUCACUUGAGACCAAACCUGUAUUCCAACUGCGGGAAUUUCCCAAACACCAUCCUGACAGAGGACUCGAGUACCAGCCUGUUCAAAGACCUCAGCAGUGCGCUGGCGGGCAUGCCCGAGGCCAGCCUGCACACGGACACUCCAUUUCCUCUGGAAGAAGAGCUCCACAUCGAACCCCUGAGCCUGGACGGACUCAACAUGCUAAGUGACUCCAGCAUGGGCCUGCUCGACCCCUCUGUUGAAGAGACGUUUCGGGCUGACCGACUGUGAACAGAACAGACCAGGACCAGAAUUCUUUUCUGAAGGCGCCGAAAUAGGACGGCACGGAAUGGAGCCAGCUACCCCCCCCCCCCCCCCCCCCCGCCCACCGGGCUUGAGUCAUCUCGGGCCUCUGACACGGCAGGAGCCAACGCCAUGACUCCUGGCUUUGCGACGAGGUCCCGUCUCCUACGCCGUGGCUUAUUCUAGACCAGAGAGCCAUGCACGGCCUCACCGGCCUACGGCGAGGGUUAUGCUCCGCAGGCCGGCUGACCUGACCGGGAGCCUCCCAACGACUCGGUCAUCACCGUGCCCGGUGCGUCUUUUUCUCGGCCCUCUAGUCGGUCCAUGUGUACAAGCAGAAAAGAACCCUGUGAUGGGGGCGGCAGUCGCCUGGUGCUGUGCCCAGAACCACUGAUGUCAGUCAACACUGAAGAUCGGGCCCGGAGCGGAGGCGGUUGGGGGCCACGGGCCUCCGGGAGCUGGCUCAGCCACGAGCAACGGUACCACAGCACCGCGAGGCCGCCUCUGCCCUCGUGCUUCCGGCCGGGCACCCGCCAGCUGGUGGCGGGCGGUCCCGGGGCACGGCAGACGGCCGUGAUCUCGGAGAUGCCUUAAUUCCAAUAUGAAGAAUUCUUCCCACGAUUUCAAGCACAGACCCGAGUUUCGCAAACUGAAUGCUCAUUUGUCUUCUCCAACCUCUGGACCGGGGUGGAGGCCGUGCUGGUUCCAACUGGAUCCUCUGACCGCCGAGUGCACCGAGAGGUCUGUCCAGUGACCAUUCAGCCGCGGACGCCAGACACUGCCCACCACACGUCCCUCACGGCCACCUGAACGAAAGAAAAAUACCAAGAGGCGGGAUUCAUUCUUUAAACAUGUUUCCACUGUAGAUGGCAUCUCUUGACAGCCGGUGAUUUGGGACGAGGAAAUGAGCUCACCCGCUUCCUAUCCCCUUCCCCUCCCAGAAGCUAGUCUGGCUUCCCUCUGGUCUAUGAGCAGCUUGAGGCGAGGACGGUGUCUGACUCAAUUCUGACAACCCGGUGCCCAGUUGAAUGGCACCCAAAGUCAUCCUUUCCAUCUGCAACCUCUCCAGGACAGCCGGUCUCAGUGGAGAGCCCAAGGCCUCUGCUUCCAGGACACAUCUGCAAAUUUGCACAAGAAGGUUCAAAAGCCCCACACUUUGGUAUCCACUGCCAGGGAAAACACUCAGAGCACAGCUGCCCUCACCUGGGAACAUUCGGACAACGGCCUCUUUUGAUAGGCUAAGGAAUGGAAACAGGGAGACGACCUGGAACCGGGGGGACCGGCCAGUCUGGCCAGGGUGCAGGGGUCAUCCUCAGCUCUUUCCCGGUUCCGGAGCCUCAGGACUCACCUCAGAGGAUGCUGAGUCUCCACCUGCUCAAAGCCGGGCCUCACUUCACAAACGACAACACAACCCAACGGCAGGCUGAGAGCCGCUUCUCAAAAAGAAAAUAGUUACUUGUGCAAAGACUGCAUGGCUCUGCUCCAAAACUUUAGGGCUUGCUGCCAGCCUCUGACCAUCUCGCUCAUGUCUUUAUUGCCUGCCGGGAGCCCCCCUCUGGAUGUAUUUAUUGCGUUCCCACCAUGCGCUACCAGCCGGUAGACAGAACAGCCUCAAAUCCUGCUGUUGUGGGGGUUUUGACACCACCGAGAUGGUGACCAAGGCAGAUCUCUACACCGGUCACCUAUUCCCAGCUCCCCGAAGCUCCGGAACAAUCAUCACGGACGUACCACCCAACCUGUACACGGUCCCAUGGUAUGGUAAUUGGCUUGAGCUGCCAUGACAAAAUACCAUAGACUCCGUUUUGUAAACAACAGGAAUUUAUUUCUCCCAGCUCCGGAGGCUGGAAGUUCAAGAUCAAGGUGCCAGCAAGAAAGGGAUCGGCUCACACAGAGGAUAUUGGACAGAGCACGAGCAUUCGGCCAGGACCUAGAGACACCUAGCACAGGAAUGAUGACGUACUGAUACCUACUACAUCCUACUCCGAGACAGAAGUUCCUUGUGGAUAACACCGAAUAUUCUGGAAGAACUUUGCAGUUAUCACUGGAUAUCUCAGAAAGCUUCCUGAAUCUUCUCAGCAAACAUAACACAAGACUAGCUCCCACUCCUCCUCCACCUGGUGCCCCCUUCGCAGUGCCAGCUCCAAGAUGACACCCUAACAGGUUGACAACCCCACCAGAAAAGGGACACCUGCGGUGCUCCCAGUACAUUCUACCAACCGACUGACUGGAACCACGGGCCCAUCCCUGAACCAAUCACGGAGGCCUAGACAGCGGGAGAUGCUGAUUGGCCAGGAGGAAGUCACGUGACCGCCUCUGGGGCUCCAGGCAUGAGAAGUCAUUCCCACAAUGGCCAGAGUCGCGUGGCCUGGAAGUCGGAAGGGUUGGCUCUCCGAAGGGAUAUCAAGAUGCGGCGAACAGACAGUCCUCCACGGGUGAAAACGACAGAUGUUUACCGCGGAAGCUGGAGACAGAAACUAGAAACCACUCUUUUGGGCAGCUAAAAGCCUGAAACAGAGAAACGGUAGGCAGAGAAAAAAGAACAAAACAUCCCUAGAUGCAGAGGGAGAAAAUAAAAGCCUCUCAUCGGUGCUCUGCCUUCACCUCUGAGGGGACACAACGUACCUUUUCCAGGCAUGGGGAGCCUCAACAGAUUUGCCACCGCAUGCAGUCUGUGCAGAUAAGAUCUUCACCGUGUCCACCAGGAGCACAGCCUACCGCACACGGAUACGGUGUGGAACAUUCCUUACACCUUUUGGCCCAGACAGCUUUGUUGAGCCUGGUGUCCAUGUGCACAUCUGGAGUUUCCAUCUCCCUCCUGGAAAAUCUCUGGAUCUCUUUGAGUACCCGAGGGGCACGCUUCUUGAACUCCACUCCAUGGAUGUGCUCGUGAAUGCUGAUGAUGUGUUCUCUGGUCAGUACCUUGGUGAUGGCAGAAUGGCGCGUCUCCUUCUCACCACCCUGCUAUGCAGGAGCCAUUCUGCUGGGCCCAGGGUUGGAAAGGAACUGUCCACGUUACUCUUCUCCUGAAAACCUUCUAUAGUAAGUUAAACAACAAGGAGAUACCAUUAAACACCCUGCAGAAUGGCUAAAAUGAAAAGGAUUGGCCAUUUCAAUGCUGAUGAAGAUACAGAUAAUGGGACACUUACACGGUGUUAGUGGUAGUAUAAAAUGAUACACCCGCUUUGGAAACAUGACUGUUUCUACCAAAGGUAAAUACACGCUUACCCCUAUGGCCCAGAAACCCUAUUCCUAGAUACUGUUUACCCCCAAAGAAGAAGUGAUGCAUACGAUCACAAAAGACUUAUGUAAAAACGUCCACAGCAGUUUUAUUUGUGAUAGCCAAAGGGAAAAAACUCAAAUGUCCAUCAUUAGAUGAAUGGAUAAAUAAAUUGUAGCAUGCUCAUACAAUUGCAUACUGUUGAUAAAAGAAUGGUUUUUAAAAUCAAGGAUAAUCAUGACUCUUAUAAAGACAUAAAAUAAACACAUGUCAAAGGUU
Molecule: RNA transcript, 5540 nt
Organism: Felis catus (domestic cat)
Lineage: Eukaryota; Metazoa; Chordata; Mammalia; Carnivora; Felidae
Gene: CRTC3
Gene name: CREB regulated transcription coactivator 3
Exons: 28
Source: RefSeq, a predicted model, not a curated record